UAUAGUCAGUCAGAGUAGACCCGAAACCGGGUGAUCUACCCAUGUCCAGGUUGAAGUUGCCGUAAAAGGCAAUGGAGGACCGAACGCACAUCCGUUGAAAAGGGUGGCGAUGAGGUGUGGGUAGGGGAGAAAUUCCAAUCGAACCCGGAGAUAGCUGGUUCUCCUCGAAAUAGCUUUAGGGCUAGCCUCGGUUUAGUCUGCUGGAGGUAGAGCACUGAAUUUCCUAGGGGGCGUCAAAGCUUACCGAAGAAUAUCAAACUCCGAAUGCCAGCCAGAUGAUGACCGGGAGUCAGACUGCACGAGAUAAGUUGGGUAGUCAAAAGGGAAAGAGCCCAGACCACCAGCUAAGGUCCCAAAGUGCGUGUUAAGUGGAAAAGGAUGUGGGAUUUCAAAGACAACCAGGAUGUUGGCUCAGAAGCAGCCAUACAUUCAAAGAGUGCGUAAUAGCUCACUGGUCGAGAGGUCCUGCGCCGAAAAUGUCCGGGGCUAAAACACGACACCGAAGCUGUGGAAUUAACUGAUGUUAAUUGGUAGAGGAGCAUUCUUAAAGGGACGAAGCAGUACCGUAAGGAGCUGUGGACUGAUAAGAAGAGAGAAUGCCGGAAUGAGUAGCGAGAGAGAGGUGAGAAUCCUCUCGGCCGAAUAUCUAAGGUUUCCAGAGUAAAGCUGAUCUGCUCUGGGUAAGUCGGGGCCUAAGGCGAGGUCGAAAGACGUAGUCGAUGGAUAACAGGUUGAGAUUCCUGUACUGCUGUAUAACAGAACUGUGGGGACACAGAGGGAGAGCACAUCCCGGGAAUGGAAAUACCGGGGCAAGCGAGGUAGGAGCUGCAAUGGCAAAUCCGUGUAGCAAUCCGAAGGCGUGAUGCAUAACGAAAUUUAGUAGUGAAUUGUGUGAGCCAGCUGUCAAGAAAAGCCGCUAUUGUUUGUACAGUACCCGUACCGUAAACCGACACAGGUGGAUGAGGAGAGAAUCCUAAGGCCGACGGAAGAAGCAUUGUUAAGGAACUCGGCAAAAUGACCCCGUAACUUCGGGAGAAGGGGUGCCCUGUGAAAGCAGGGCCGCAGUGAAAUGGCUCAAGCAACUGUUUAGCAAAAACACAGGUCUAUGCAAAACCGAAAGGUGAAGUAUAUGGGCUGACGCCUGCCCGGUGCUGGAAGGUUAAGAGGAGAGGUUAGCGCAAGCGAAGCUUUGAAUUUAAGCCCCAGUAAACGGCGGCCGUAACUAUAACGGUCCUAAGGUAGCGAAAUUCCUUGUCGGGUAAGUUCCGACCCGCACGAAAGGCGUAAUGAUUUGAGCACUGUCUCGACAAUGCAUCCGGUGAAAUUGAAGUACCAGUGAAGAUGCUGGUUACCCGCGCCAGGACGGAAAGACCCCAUGGAGCUUUACUCCAGCUUGGUACUGGGAUUCGGUAUUGCAUGUACAGGAUAGGUGGGAGACAAGGAAAUGGUGACGCCAGUUGCCAUGGAGUCAAUGUUGGGAUACCACCCUUGCAGUAUUGGAUUUCUAACAUGUGCCCGUGAUCCGGGCAGUGGACAAUGCCAGGCGGGGAGUUUGACUGGGGCGGUCGCCUCCGAAAGGGUAUCGGAGGCGCCCAAAGGUUCCCUCAGAAUGGUUGGAAACCAUUCGCAGAGUGCAAAGGCAGAAGGGAGCUUGACUGUGACACCGACGGGUGGAGCAGGUACGAAAGUAGGGCUUAGUGAUCCGGUGGUAUUAAGUGGGAAUGCCAUCGCUCAACGGAUAAAAGCUACCCUGGGGAUAACAGGCUUAUCACUCCCAAGAGUUCACAUCGACGGAGUGGUUUGGCACCUCGAUGUCGGCUCAUCGCAUCCUGGGGCUGUAGUAGGUCCCAAGGGUUGGGCUGUUCGCCCAUUAAAGCGGUACGCGAGCUGGGUUCAGAACGUCGUGAGACAGUUCGGUCCCUAUCCGGCGUGGGCGUAGGAUAUUUGAGAGGAGCUGUCCUUAGUACGAGAGGACCGGGAUGGACUGACCUCUGGUGUAUCGGUUGUUCCGCCAGGAGCAUGGCCGAGUAGCCAAGUCGGGAAGGGAUAAACGCUGAAGGCAUCUAAGCGUGAAGCCCCCCUCAAGAUGAGAUAUCCCAUAGCACAAGCUAGUAAGACCCCUUGAAGACGACGAGGUAGAUAGGGCAGAGGUGGAAGCGCAGUAAUGCGUGAAGCUGACUGUUACUAAUAGGUCGAGGGCUUAACCAA
This 2208-nucleotide ribosomal RNA is filed under the name Hominiventricola filiformis. Its description in RNAcentral is "partial 23S ribosomal RNA". It matches the Rfam family "Bacterial large subunit ribosomal RNA", at positions 695 to 2925 of the family's 2925-position model. Lineage: Bacteria; Bacillati; Bacillota; Clostridia; Lachnospirales; Lachnospiraceae. The record is from RNAcentral.